CAAUAGCGUAUAUUAAAGUUGUUGCAGUUAAAAAGCUCGUAGUUGGAUUUCUGGUCGGCAGCUCCUGUCCUCUGAUGAGCGUACAAGUGCGUCCUACCAUCCUUCUGUUAACCUUUAAGGCUUUCGCGGCUUUCUAGGGGCUCAGAUAUUUUACCUUGAGAAAAUUAGAGUGUUUCAGGCAGGCUAGCGCCGGAAUACAUUAGCAUGGAAUAAUGGAAUAGGACUUUUGCCUCUUCUGUUGGUCAUGAGGCUCGAGUAAUGAUUAAUAGGGAUAGUUGGGGGCAUUAGUACUUAACUGUCAGAGGUGAAAUUCUCGGAUUUGUUAAAGACUAACUUAUGCGAAAGCAUUUGCCAAGGAUGUUUNCAUUAA
RNAcentral lists this ribosomal RNA (370 nucleotides) under uncultured eukaryote. Its description in RNAcentral is "partial 18S ribosomal RNA". It matches the Rfam family "Eukaryotic small subunit ribosomal RNA", at positions 592 to 976 of the family's 1831-position model. The record is from RNAcentral.